RNAcentral lists this long non-coding RNA (957 nucleotides) under Linum usitatissimum (flax). RNAcentral describes it as "long non-coding RNA (LUSI_LNC003623)". The record is from RNAcentral. Lineage: Eukaryota; Viridiplantae; Streptophyta; Magnoliopsida; Malpighiales; Linaceae.
AUCUAGAGAUUCUUUAGCGGUAUGAACAGCCUGCAAUGCAAAGAUUGGUUUCAGUUAACCAACUGAUAUCAAAAUGAUUCGGCAGAAACGAUGAACACAGUACAUUACCUGGACUGGACAUAGUUCUCGAUGGAUCCAAACGUGAGAGACUUGGCGAAUCCGGUGGUGAUGUCCAGCCUUACGGGCUCUCUCCAAAAUCUUGGCAUUCUCUUUCUCAGAAUCAGCAGAGCCGAGUCUUCCAUCAGCUUCUUCAUCCUAAGGAAUCUCGAGAGAUGAUGGCGUUUAAAUGAAAAAGAAAGAACAACCUCUAUAUGAUUAUGCAGAGGGGAAACGUGAAAAUAACGUACUUUUGUUCUAAGCUUAGGCUGCUUGCUUGGGGAAGAGAGGGUAAGGUUUUUCAGUGCAGAGUAACUCAGAGGAGGAGGGGCAACCUGCUCCUGGGUUCGCCUAUUGGUGGGAAGUGGGGUUUCAAUUGGAAUUUUUCCUGAGGUAGUAUGCUUGGCUUAAUUAAUUGUUGAAGAAGAAGACGUGGUAUAGGGGUAACUGGAUGUGACUUUCUUGUCAGCCAAGGGAUUGUGAAUCUCUUUAGCAGGCAUUCUUUCUGCCUCCUUCAGUUCUCAACAGCUUGUUUACUGUUCUGCUCAUGUUGACUGGGAUAUCGUUUCUCGAGUACUUUAGUUUUCUCGAGAGUCAACUUCUCAGCGAUCUAUAUAGCUUCUCUCGAUCCCUUUGGUUGGAGCAUCAGAAUGUUGCUUCUUCCGUGGAAUUCUAUCAUCAGUAGGCAACUUUUCCAGCACUGAAAGUUUUACACACUGAUGCAUCUUAUAUAGACAGUUUUUACACAUGAAGUUUUCAAGUGUCUGCAUUGGAAGAAAGAAACAAUUUUCAUGUACCAACGUUUACAGUUGUAAUUCAGAAUCUGGUUCUUGCAUUAAUAGUAACUAUAAUUUAAAGCUA